AACGCACCUUGCGCUCUCUGGUAUUCCGGAGAGCAUGUCUGUUUGAGUGUCAUGAACUCUUCAACCCACCGGUUCCUUGUUGGACCGAGUUGGUGUUUGGAUUUUGAGUGCUGCAGUCUCGCAAGAGACCUGCUCAUUCGUAAUACAUUAGCAUCUCAAUUUCGUAAUCGGAUUGACUCAGCGUAAUAGACUAUUCGCUGAGGACACCUCACGGUGGCCGAGAAUGAAGAGUUAGAAGCUUCAAACCCCUCUAGUCAACUUUAGAUUAGACCUCAAAUCAGGCAGGAUUACCCGCUGAACUUAA
RNAcentral lists this unclassified non-coding RNA (304 nucleotides) under uncultured fungus. Its description in RNAcentral is "sequence contains ITS2". The stretch from base 1 to 52 matches the Rfam family "5.8S ribosomal RNA", at positions 103 to 154 of the family's 154-position model. The record is from RNAcentral. Lineage: Eukaryota; Fungi.